Molecule: long non-coding RNA, 251 nt
Organism: Portunus trituberculatus (swimming crab)
Lineage: Eukaryota; Metazoa; Arthropoda; Malacostraca; Decapoda; Portunidae
Exons: 3
Source: RefSeq, a predicted model, not a curated record
UGAAGGGGUGUGGAGUGACAGGUGUUCGUUCCCAGACAGGUGACGUGGACGCCGCCGCCAUGUUGCCACUCCAAGUCUCCUCUGCACCUGGCCGCCAUCUUGGUACACCUCGUGACGUCAUUGGCCGCCAUGUUCGAUUUUGGCAUUGUGCGUCACGGGACAGGUGUGAAGAUGUGGUGGCGUUACCUGUUGUCUCCCUGCACCGGUAACACCACUACCCUGCCUCGCCUCGCCACCGCUGGAGAGGACGU